Molecule: ribosomal RNA, 347 nt
Filed under: uncultured bacterium
Lineage: Bacteria
Description: partial 16S ribosomal RNA
Rfam family: Bacterial small subunit ribosomal RNA
Source: RNAcentral
CCUACGGGAGGCAGCAGUGAGGAAUAUUGGUCAAUGGACGAGAGUCUGAACCAGCCAAGUAGCGUGAAGGAUGACUGCCCUAUGGGUUGUAAACUUCUGUUAUAAAGGAAUAAAACGAGGCAAGUGAGCCUUUUUGCAUGUACUUUAUGAAUAAGGAUCGGCUAACUCCGUGCCAGCAGCCGCGGUAAUACGGAGGAUCCGAUCGUUAUCCGGAUUUAGUGGGUUUAAAGGGAGCGUAGAUGGGUUGUUAAGUCAGUUGUGCACGUUUGCGGCUCAACCGUAAAAUUGCAAUUGAUACUGGCAGCCUUGUGUCCAGUUGAUGUAGGCGGACUUCGUGUUGUAGCGGU